This 1136-nucleotide long non-coding RNA is filed under the name Homo sapiens (human). Its description in RNAcentral is "HSALNT0275399". Lineage: Eukaryota; Metazoa; Chordata; Mammalia; Primates; Hominidae. The record is from RNAcentral.
GGAGGCUGAGGCAGGAGAAUUGCUUGAACCUGGGAGGCAGAAGUUGCAGUGAGCCGAGAUCAGGCCAUUGCACUCCAGCCUGGGCAACAGGGCAAGUCUCCAUCUCAAAAGAGGGGAAGGAAAGUGCUGGGUAGAGGAAGGCAUGGUCCCUGGCUAGGGUUCCACCCCCAUGGACCUAGGUGAGGACAGGCAUUUCCUGCCCACAUGUUGUGGCAUUUCCCAAGACUACCCGGGCCUGCCAUGCUCCAUCUUGUGCCUAUAAAAACCCCUGAGACCCUAGUAGGCAGAUACUCUAGCGGCUGGACAUUGAGAGGAGUGGAUCAGUGGAAGAACGCACAAGUGGCUGGACGUCAAGCGGAAUCCACAGACAGGCACUGGCAGGCCUGGCAUUUGUGAAGCCGGCUGCGGCAGAAUGAUGUGGAGUUUGGCUGGGGCAGUCGUAGGAGAGCUCAGGCCGCCCAGGGGAAAAUCAUCUCCCUUCUGGCUCCCCCAUCUGCUGAGAGCUACUUCCAUUCAAUAAAACCUUGCACUCAUUCUCCAAGCCCACGUGUGGUCAGAUUUACACAAGGCAAGAACCCCAGGAUCCAGAAAGCCCUCUGUCCUUGUGAUAAGGCAGGGGUCUAGUUGAGCUGGUUAACACAAGCUGCCUAUAGAUGGCUAAACUAAAAGCACCCUGUAACACGCCCAGUGGGGCUUCACGAGCUGUCAACAUCCACCCCUAGACACUGCCGUGGGGUCAACACCCCACAACUUGCCCGUCUGUAUGCUCCCCCAGAGGUUUGAGCAGCAGGGCACCGAAGAAGUGAGCCACACCCCCAUUGCAUGCCCUGCGAAGGGGACAAAGGAACUUUUCCUGUUUCAGGGGAAUGGUCCUCACUGCCUCCUCCAGAUUUUCUGCCCUGAGUUGUGAGGACAGCACAGCUUGGGCUCUGUGUGUGCUCACUCAAUGCAGCCGCCAGCUGCUGCUCCCCCACGGGGUCUCGCUCACUGCAUGCGGGCUCUGCUGCUGCUGUCGGUCCUUGGCCUUGAGAAUUCCUCUCUGGGAAUGCGUGUUUCUCUCUGUGAACAUGUUUUGCCUUCUACAGGCCUCCUUAGCCUCAUCAGAGACUCCUGAAAUGAGUUUCCCGGUCCUGUGU